AUGAAGAAAGGCAGGGAGAGAGGGUUGUGGGGAUCAGCUCGCUCGGACAGAGCCCGGGCUCCCCACCGAGAGCCGGGAGGUGGCAGCAGCGGCCGAGCGCGGGGCCGGAGCGGGGGCGGUGCCGGCGGGGUGUCCCCGAGGGACGGGGGGGCCGCGGGCUCCGCGGGCAUCCCCGCUGCUCUGCUCUGCUCUGCUCCGCUCUCAUCCCCUCCUGCGCUGCGGGGCCGUGCUCCAGGCCUCCGGCGGAGGGCGGAGGAGCUGCCUCUCGUUCAGCCUUCCCGGGGGCAGGCACAUGGCUGGAGCCCCGACACGGACACGGGUGGGUCCGGCUGUGCUGGGCCGACACGGGCACGGGUGGGUCCGGCUGUGCUGGGCGCUCGGGCGCCUGCAGUGCUCCACGGCUGGGAAUUCCCGGCUGCGCUGGCGCCGAGCCCUUCCCGGAAUGCUUGUCCGAGCCGGGGCUGUAAACAGUAUUUUUCUCUCCUUGCAGUCACUGCCGAGUCCUGUGAGUCCCCUGCCCUCUCUGUUGCUUCUUUCAGGUGUUCCUGGAUUGUUCGCUUCCCGACCCCUCUGCUGCACCCUGACGGAGCCGGGGAGACACAGGGAGCCAGGGACAGCAGCUGCCUGGGGCACUCCUCAUCCCGGUGCGGGUGGGCACAGGUUUGCCCAUGUGUGGCGUCCACCCGUCCCUCACCAGGGCUCCGGUGCCACCGCGUUACUAGCGGGGAGCAGGGAGUCACCGCCCUGCAGGACGUGAGCACCGCCCACGGUGAGCACGCCCGGCCUGCGCUCGCUCGGGGAGCUGACAGCUGUAUUUAUGGAUUGGGUGGAAAACCAGAGCGUUUGGUCAAACGUCCCACAGGCCCCGGGCCUGCCCCUGCCCGCGGCGCGGACACGUCACGGACACGCCCGUGGGCCUGCGAAUGGUCAGCCAUGGGGACAGCCUGGGUGGGACACGGCUCGGGGGGGUGGGCUGCCUUGGUGAAGACGACAGCCAUGGCCCCACUCAGCCACCACUCGCCAUACAAGCCCCUCCCAGCCACAAGCCUCUCUGGCCAUGAUUCCCCUGUCAAUGAACGCCCCUGGCGAUGA
RNAcentral lists this long non-coding RNA (1092 nucleotides) under Ficedula albicollis (Collared flycatcher). Its description in RNAcentral is "lncRNA (ENSFALG00000024885.1)". Lineage: Eukaryota; Metazoa; Chordata; Aves; Passeriformes; Muscicapidae. The record is from RNAcentral.